AGUGAACGCUGGCGGUAGGCCUAACACAUGCAAGUCGAACGGCAGCACAGUAAGAGCUUGCUCUUACGGGUGGCGAGUGGCGGACGGGUGAGGAAUACAUCGGAAUCUACUUUUUCGUGGGGGAUAACGUAGGGAAACUUACGCUAAUACCGCAUACGACCUACGGGUGAAAGCAGGGGAUCUUCUGACCUUGCGCGAUUGAAUGGGCCGAUGUCGGAUUAGCUAGUUGGCGGGGUAAAGGCCCACCAAGUCGACGAUCCGUAGCUGGUCUGAGUGGAUGAUCGGCCACACUGGAACUGAGACACGGUCCAGACUCCUACGGGAGGCAGCAGUGGGGAAUAUUGGACAAUGGGGGCAAGCCUGAUCCAGCCAUACCGCGUGGGUGAAGAAGGCCUUCGGGUUGUAAAGCCCUUUUGUUGGGAAAGAAAAGCAGCAGGUUAAGACCACGCUGUUCUGACGGUACCCAAAGAAUAAGCACCGGCUAACUUCGUG
This 492-nucleotide ribosomal RNA is filed under the name uncultured bacterium. RNAcentral's name for it is "partial 16S ribosomal RNA". It matches the Rfam family "Bacterial small subunit ribosomal RNA", at positions 29 to 507 of the family's 1533-position model. The record is from RNAcentral.